This 390-nucleotide long non-coding RNA is filed under the name Androctonus crassicauda. The record is from RNAcentral. Lineage: Eukaryota; Metazoa; Arthropoda; Arachnida; Scorpiones; Buthidae.
UUCAGUUUCUUUGUAUCUGUCUUAAAUAAACUAUUUUAUUGCCUAAGAAGUGUUUGUUUACUACAAAGACUUAAAUAAAAAAGUAGAUAGUUAAAUAUGUUUUAGUAUGAAUAUUCAUAAUGUAAAUACUUAUAAACAUUUAUUCAGAGCACACAUUCCACUAUCUGCUACAAAAUGGAAAAUCAAAAUUGCAGAUGGAGAAGCCAAAGUAACAUGCCAUGACCUCAGCUGCACAUGUAUGCAAAUAACUUUUAUUCUGGGAUUGUGUCUAAAGCAGUACAUUAUCUGUAUAAUAGCUCAUCUACUAAUCUGUUGUUUAUGACAAUUAAAAAUUUUUUUGUGUAAUAUAAAUAAUUUCAUUAUUAUUAUAAUUUGUUUGAUUUUAAAGGC